Molecule: long non-coding RNA, 253 nt
Filed under: Gossypium barbadense (sea-island cotton)
Lineage: Eukaryota; Viridiplantae; Streptophyta; Magnoliopsida; Malvales; Malvaceae
Description: long non-coding RNA (GBAR_LNC021449)
Source: RNAcentral
CGAGUCAAGUCAAGCUUGGGCCUUGAAUGUUUAAGCUUGAAUCCAACCCAUAUUUUAAACGAGCUUAAUUUUUUUACACUAACUUCAUUUUUCGGGUCUAAUAUUUUUGCCCAAACCCUCCUGAAUUUCAGCCAAACCAAAUUUUGUUUAUCUUUUAAUUUCAAUUUUAAAUUAUUACUAAUUAUAUUUUAUUUAUGUUCAAGGAUUUUAACACGUGACUCAUGUUUUACACUAGUAAUCAAAUGUGUAAAUG